This 561-nucleotide ribosomal RNA is filed under the name uncultured Glomus. RNAcentral describes it as "eukaryotic LSU rRNA". The stretch from base 160 to 313 matches the Rfam family "5.8S ribosomal RNA". The record is from RNAcentral. Lineage: Eukaryota; Fungi; Glomeromycota; Glomeromycetes; Glomerales; Glomeraceae.
GGAAGUAAAAGUCGUAACAAGGUUUCCGUAGGUGAACCUGCGGAAGGAUCAUUACUGAUUUAGCGAACCGAGCGUUAGCGAGGUUUUGCGAUCACUUGUAUUUAAAACCCACUCUUUGAACGUAUAAAAUUUUAUGUAUUAAUGAUAAAAAUAAAAGAUCACUUUCAACAACGGAUCUCUUGGCUCUCGCAUCGAUGAAGGACGUAGCGAAGUGCGAUAAGUAAUGUGAAUUGCAGUAUUCCGUGAAUCAUCGAAUCUUUGAACGCAUAUUGCACUUUCUGGUAUUCCGGAAAGUAUGCCUGUUUGAGGGUCAGUUAAAUAAAAAUCGGUGUUGUUGCUGCCUUUCGUGGUGACGCGUCGGAAUUGAGUUGUCUUACUUUCGGUUAAGUGACUUAAAAUUUUGUAUGAUUUUCGAACGUAUUUAAAUUUAUUUGUACGUUUGAGAUAUCGAACGUUAUUAGGUUCGGUCAUUCUAAUGACUCGCGCCUAUAGUUUUUCAUUAAAUGACCUCAAAUCAGGUAAGCAUACCCGCUGAACUUAAGCAUAUCAAUAAGCGGAGGA